Molecule: long non-coding RNA, 847 nt
Organism: Mustela erminea (ermine)
Lineage: Eukaryota; Metazoa; Chordata; Mammalia; Carnivora; Mustelidae
Exons: 3
Source: RefSeq, a predicted model, not a curated record
CCCAGGGACACUUGGCACACAUGGCCUGUCCCUGCAGGGGACUGGGGACCACAGUCCUUGACCUCAUUUCGGUGAAAGCCAGGGCCAAGAGGUGCCAAUAGAAUGUCCCGGCCAUUCCCUGGCUCAUUUAUGGAGCCUUGUGGGUUCCAGGCCCUGGGCUGGGCACCUGGGAAUGAAGGGCUGGGGGAGGCCAGCCCUGCUCCAAGGAGCUCUCGCUAGGGCUGGGCUCAAAUUCGUGCUGCCUCGAUGCGCUGGAAGGAAUCAUCUGUAGAAGGCAGAAGCCCGGGCAGACCCGAGCAUGAGUGAGCAACAAAUCCCUUUCAGCCGUGCACAGGAGGCUGUCUCUGCUCUUUGGCACUGCCCAUGUUCCAUCCACGCUGCAGGUCUUUCCAACCGCCUGGCUGACCUGAGUUUAUGGCAGACCGUCACAGCGCAACUGGGAAAAGAAGCCAACAUCCCUUGCAUUUGGACUCUGGGUCCUUCACAGCCCGGGAUCUGGAGUACAUCAGAUGACAUCUUUGAACCUGAAUGUCCUCAUGAGGACGUCAGCUCUGUAGUUCCUUCUUUGCUAUAUCCACGACACCCAGCACGGUCCGUGGCUCCUAGCAGCAUGAGUAAGACACACGUUCAGCCUGCCCAGCCUGUGCCAUAGUCAGGAUUUAGUGUACGGGGAUAACCUUGAACACUGGAACAUAAUACAAACACUGGUUAUUGCUAGGACGUGUAAUAAAAGUUGGGCUUGCCGGUGUGCGAGCAGAAAGGUGAUGUGGGUGUCUCUGCAGGGAAGGGCGAAGUUCACCACAGGAAGGAGCUAACCCCAAGGGUGAGAUCCAGGCGCCUGCGACUU